UCAUCUUCGGGGGUAGAGCACUGUUUCGGCUAGGGGGUCAUCCCGACUUACCAACCCGAUGCAAACUACGAAUACCGAAGAAUGUUAUCACGGGAGACACACGGCGGGUGCUAACGUCCGUCGUGAAGAGGGAAACAACCCAGACCGCCAGCUAAGGUCCCAAAGUCAUGGUUAAGUGGGAAACGAUGUGGGAAGGCACAGACAGCCAGGAUGUUGGCUUAGAAGCAGCCAUCAUUUAAAGAAAGCGUAAUAGCUCACUGGUCGAGUCGGCCUGCGCGGAAGAUGUAACGGGGCUAAACCAUGCACCGAAGCUGCGGCAGCGACACUAUGUGUUGUUGGGUAGGGGAGCGUUCUGUAAGCCUGCGAAGGUGUGCUGUGAGGCAUGCUGGAGGUAUCAGAAGUGCGAAUGCUGACAUAAGUAACGAUAAAGCGGGUGAAAAGCCCGCUCGCCGGAAGACCAAGGGUUCCUGUCCAACGUUAAUCGGGGCAGGGUGAGUCGACCCCUAAGGCGAGGCCGAAAGGCGUAGUCGAUGGGAAACAGGUUAAUAUUCCUGUACUUGGUGUUACUGCGAAGGGGGGACGGAGAAGGCUAUGUUAGCCGGGCGACGGUUGUCCCGGUUUAAGCAUGUAGGCUGGUUGUCCAGGCAAAUCCGGAUAAUCAAGGCUGAGGUGUGAUGACGAGGCACUACGGUGCUGAAGUAACAAAUGCCCUGCUUCCAGGAAAAGCCUCUAAGCAUCAGGUAACAUCAAAUCGUACCCCAAACCGACACAGGUGGUCAGGUAGAGAAUACCAAGGCGCUUGAGAGAACUCGGGUGAAGGAACUAGGCAAAAUGGUGCCGUAACUUCGGGAGAAGGCACGCUGGUGUGUAGGUGAAGUCCCUGCGGAUGGAGCUGAGACCAGUCGAAGAUACCAGCUGGCUGCAACUGUUUAUUAAAAACACAGCACUGUGCAAACACGAAAGUGGACGUAUACGGUGUGACGCCUGCCCGGUGCCGGAAGGUUAAUUGAUGGGGUUAUCCGUAAGGAGAAGCUCUUGAUCGAAGCCCCGGUAAACGGCGGCCGUAACUAUAACGGUCCUAAGGUAGCGAAAUUCCUUGUCGGGUAAGUUCCGACCUGCACGAAUGGCGUAAUGAUGGCCAGGCUGUCUCCACCCGAGACUCAGUGAAAUUGAACUCGCUGUGAAGAUGCAGUGUACCCGCGGCAAGACGGAAAGACCCCGUGAACCUUUACUAUAGCUUGACACUGAACAUUGAGCCUUGAUGUGUAGGAUAGGUGGGAGGCUUUGAAGCGUGGACGCCAGUCUGCGUGGAGCCAACCUUGAAAUACCACCCUUUAAUGUUUGAUGUUCUAACGUUGGCCCCUUACCGGGGUUGCGGACAGUGUCUGGUGGGUAGUUUGACUGGGGCGGUCUCCUCCCAAAGCGUAACGGAGGAGCACGAAGGUUAGCUAAUCCUGGUCGGACAUCAGGAGGUUAGUGCAAUGGCAUAAGCUAGCUUGACUGCGAGCGUGACGGCGCGAGCAGGUGCGAAAGCAGGUCAUAGUGAUCCGGUGGUUCUGAAUGGAAGGGCCAUCGCUCAACGGAUAAAAGGUACUCCGGGGAUAACAGGCUGAUACCGCCCAAGAGUUCAUAUCGACGGCGGUGUUUGGCACCUCGAUGUCGGCUCAUCACAUCCUGGGGCUGAAGUAGGUCCCAAGGGUAUGGCUGUUCGCCAUUUAAAGUGGUACGCGAGCUGGGUUUAGAACGUCGUGAGACAGUUCGGUCCCUAUCUGCCGUGGGCGCUGGAGAAUUGAGGGGGGCUGCUCCUAGUACGAGAGGACCGGAGUGGACGCAUCACUGGUG
This 1842-nucleotide ribosomal RNA is filed under the name Klebsiella pneumoniae. Its description in RNAcentral is "partial 23S ribosomal RNA". It matches the Rfam family "Bacterial large subunit ribosomal RNA", at positions 890 to 2714 of the family's 2925-position model. The record is from RNAcentral. Lineage: Bacteria; Pseudomonadati; Pseudomonadota; Gammaproteobacteria; Enterobacterales; Enterobacteriaceae.